This is a non-coding RNA of Paramuricea clavata, 622 nucleotides long. The record is from the annotation of a GenBank genome assembly. Lineage: Eukaryota; Metazoa; Cnidaria; Anthozoa; Malacalcyonacea; Plexauridae.
CUUAAAUUAUUUUAAAUGUAGUUUUGUCUUUACGCAUUUUCAGGUCUGAUUGGGAAGAAACCGAAGCAAAUAGCAAUAACUCUGAGAGUACAAUAGAAGAAAAACGCGUCGAAAAUAUAACGAUCUAUGUUGGUACUGUCAUAUCAGUGUGCCUGUUGUCAUUUGUUAGAGCGGUUUUCUGGUUUCAAAUCCUAACCAGUGCAUCACGACAUUUACAUGACGAGAUGUUUAGAACUAUUCUCAGAGCUCCGAUAUAUUUCUUUGACACAAAUCCUGUUGGUAAGUUUUGAUUAUAAAUCAUGUACCUCCAGCACUGCAUUGCUAUUUGAAUAUCUUGCUCAGUUAGGUAAUUGUUGCACAUCGUUAUGAUUGGGUAUUAGCUUUGUAGCAUUCAUGUGUAUAGCCUAAUGUUUUCAGUGUAUAGGGCAUAUUGUAAACACUGGACUGGCCUUUGGACUGGACUUAUUUUUACAGUAAGAUUUUCGCAUAAAUCCCCAUAGUUAUCGUUAGAAACAACGAAAAGGAGCUCGAUAGGUCCAAUAGCACAACGUACGUACAAUAGCAUGCCCGUUCGCAAGUUUGAGUUGGGCAUAGCUCUGGGAGAAAUCGAAUUGAUUCACGG